AUGAACAGGGGCGUGCCGCCGGCGUGGGGCGAGAUGGAGACGGACUGCCUGGUGCACGUCUUCCGCCGGCUGGCGCUGGAGGACGUGGCCGCCGCGGCGCCGCUCGUGUGCCGCGGCUGGCGCCGCGCGGCCGCGGACCCGUCCCUCUGGCGCGCGCUCGACCUGCGCCACGACCACGUCGCGCGCUUCAUGCCCUGGGGCCCCCUCGCCGCCGCCUUCGCGCGCCGCUACGGCGUCGCCCGCUUCGCCUUCGCGGGGUUCCUCACGCUCUGCCUCGCCCGCGCGGCGGGCUCCGCGUCCGACCUCGCGCUCCCGCCGCUCCUCUCCUCGCCGGCCGCCGAGCUCGACCGCGUCGCCGCCGGCUGCCCGAGGCUGCGCCGGCUCGCGCUCCCGCCGCUGCUCUCCGCCGCCGACGAGGCGCGCCUGCCGGAGCUCGUCCCGCGGUGGCCCCUCCUCCAGCGCCUGGAGCUCGAGUCCAAGCCGUCGUCCUUCCCGGCCGUCGCCGCGCAGCUCGCGCUGCACUGCCCGGACCUCUCCGGCCUCAAGACCUCCGGGGCCAUCAAGCCGGAGGACGCCGCGGCCAUGGUGGCCUCGCUGCCCAGGCUCCGGUCGCUGUGCCUCGACUCGUCCUACCUGCCCAAGCAGGAGCUGCUCGCCAUUCUCGCCGGCUGCAGUCAGCUCCAGGAAUUCAGCGCCAGGAACUGUGUCGGGUUCAACGAGAAGGACGAGGAGGUGGUCCGACGAGGCGCCAGGAUCGAGAGGUUCGAGAUCGGAGGGUCCAGAUUCGUCGACGAGAUGAUGACCGACGACGAGUUCUGCGGCUCUUCCUACGUCGACGUCAUGUGA
This 846-nucleotide ribosomal RNA is filed under the name Triticum aestivum (bread wheat). RNAcentral's name for it is "partial small subunit ribosomal RNA". The record is from RNAcentral. Lineage: Eukaryota; Viridiplantae; Streptophyta; Magnoliopsida; Poales; Poaceae.